GACGAACGCUGGCGGCGUGCUUAACACAUGCAAGUCGAACGGAAAGGCCCUGCUUUUGUGGGGUGCUCGAGUGGCGAACGGGUGAGUAACACGUGAGUAACCUGCCCUUGACUUUGGGAUAACUUCAGGAAACUGGGGCUAAUACCGGAUAGGAGCUCCUGCUGCAUGGUGGGGGUUGGAAAGUUUCGGCGGUUGGGGAUGGACUCGCGGCUUAUCAGCUUGUUGGUGGGGUAGUGGCUUACCAAGGCUUUGACGGGUAGCCGGCCUGAGAGGGUGACCGGCCACCUUGGGACUGAGAUACGCGCCAGACUCCUACGGGAGGCAGCAGUGGGGAAUAUUGCACAAUGGGCGGAAGCCUGAUGCAGCAACGCCGCGUGCGGGAUGACGGCCUUCGGGUUGUAAACCGCUUUCGCCUGUGACGAAGCGUGAGUGACGGUAAUGGGUAAAGAAGCACCGGCUAACUACGUG
This 468-nucleotide ribosomal RNA is filed under the name uncultured bacterium. Its description in RNAcentral is "partial 16S ribosomal RNA". It matches the Rfam family "Bacterial small subunit ribosomal RNA", at positions 28 to 507 of the family's 1533-position model. The record is from RNAcentral.